AUUGAACGCUGACGGCAGGCCUAACACAUGCAAGUCGAGCGGAUGAAGGGAGCUUGCUCCUGGAUUCAGCGGCGGACGGGUGAGUAAUGCCUAGGAAUCUGCCUGGUAGUGGGGGAUAACGUCCGGAAACGGGCGCUAAUACCGCAUACGUCCUGAGGGAGAAAGUGGGGGAUCUUCGGACCUCACGCUAUCAGAUGAGCCUAGGUCGGAUUAGCUAGUUGGUGGGGUAAAGGCCUACCAAGGCGACGAUCCGUAACUGGUCUGAGAGGAUGAUCAGUCACACUGGAACUGAGACACGGUCCAGACUCCUACGGGAGGCAGCAGUGGGGAAUAUUGGACAAAGGGCGAAAGCCUGAUCCAGCCAUGCCGCGUGUGUGAAGAAGGUCUUCGGAUUGUAAAGCACUUUAAGUUGGGAGGAAGGGCAGUAAGUUAAUACCUUGCUGUUUUGACGUUACCAACAGAAUAAGCACCGGCUAACUUCGUG
This 484-nucleotide ribosomal RNA is filed under the name uncultured bacterium. RNAcentral's name for it is "partial 16S ribosomal RNA". It matches the Rfam family "Bacterial small subunit ribosomal RNA", at positions 30 to 507 of the family's 1533-position model. The record is from RNAcentral.